This is a non-coding RNA of Felis catus (domestic cat), 45 nucleotides long. NCBI's taxonomy places the organism in Eukaryota, Metazoa, Chordata, Mammalia, Carnivora, Felidae. The record is from Rfam.
CCAAAGGCUCUUUUCAGAGCCACUCCGUCUUCUAAAGGGAACUGG